Molecule: ribosomal RNA, 245 nt
Filed under: uncultured bacterium
Lineage: Bacteria
Description: partial 16S ribosomal RNA
Rfam family: Bacterial small subunit ribosomal RNA
Source: RNAcentral
UACGGAGGAUCCAAGCGUUAUCCGGAAUUACUGGGCGUAAAGAGUUGCGUAGGUGGCAUGGUAAGCGAGUAGUGAAAGCGUUCGGCUCAACCGAAUAUACAUUGCUCGAACUGCCAAGCUUGAGGACGAGAGAGGUACCUGGAAUUCCCAGUGUAGGAGUGAAAUCCGUAGAUAUUGGGAGGAACACCGAUGGCGUAGGCAGGGUACUGGCUCGUUCCUGACACUAAGGCACGAAAGCGUGGGGA